RNAcentral lists this long non-coding RNA (1177 nucleotides) under Phasianus colchicus (ring-necked pheasant). Its description in RNAcentral is "lncRNA (ENSPCLG00000013831.1)". Lineage: Eukaryota; Metazoa; Chordata; Aves; Galliformes; Phasianidae. The record is from RNAcentral.
GUGCCGCAGCAGCUCGUCGCGGCGGUUCACCAGUGCCACCAGUUCCUCCAGUAACAGCUCCUCCCGCUGCCGCUGCGCCGCCGACUUCUCCCACUCUGCGGGGGGAGGGAACCCCAAAAUUUGAGGGGGGGUCCCCAGAAUUUGAGGGGGGGUCGCUAAAUUUGAAAGGGGGGCCCUAAACAUGAUGGACUGGGCACAUUGGGGUACACAAGGGGAAGAGGUUUACCCCAAGGGAAUGGAAAGGGGGGAAAGGUUUGGGGGGGUCCCCAAGAUUAGGAGGGGUCCUCAAAGGAGAGGGACCGCAAAAUUUGAGGGGGGGUCCCCAGAAUUUGAGGGGGGGUCGCUAAAUUUGAAGGGGGGGCCCUAAACGUGAUGGACUGGGCACAUUGGGGUACCCAAGGGGAAGAGGUUUACCCCAAGGGAAUGGAAAAGGGGGAAAGCUUUUUGGGGGGGGUCUUCACAAUUGGGGGGGGUCCCAAACUGGGAGGGGAUUCCAGAAUUUGGGGUGGGGGGCGCCCAAAUUUGAGGGGGGUCCCCAAAAUUUGAGGGGUGGGUUGUCAACAUGAUGGGAUACCCGAAGGGAAAAGGUUCCCCCAAAGGGAGCGGAAAGGGGGGAAAAAAUUGGGGGUGGGGGUCCCCAAAACUGGGAGGGGUUCCCAAAAUGGAGGAGGGUCUCUCUAUUGGGGGGGGUCCCUCUAUUGGCGCGGGUCUUUAUUGGGGGGGGUCUCUAUUGGGGGGGGGUCCCGGCCGCACCCUCCGUGCUCAGCAUCGCCCGCAGCUCCCGGCUCAGCAGCUCAAAGCGCCGCUCCACGUCCUGCUCCUCCUCCCUGGGACAGACGGGGGGACGUCAGGGGGACAGGAGGACACUGGGACAGGGGGACAUGGGGACAUGGGAAUAUGGGGACAGGGGGACACUGGGACAGGGGGACAUGGGGACAUGGAGACAGGGGAGCAGGGGGAUAUGGGGACAGGGGGACAGGGAGACAUGAGGAUAUGGGGACAAGGGGACAAUGGGACAGGAGGACACAUCACACACAGUGACACAACCAUCCACCACACGCACGGUGACACAACCACCACACAACCAUCACACGGUGACACAACCAUCUAUCACACACAUGGUGACACAACCACACACACGGUGACACAACCACCACACAAUCACACACGGUGACAC